GUGUCCCACUGAACCAAACCGAUCAGAGACGCUACAAGGCGGAGAUGAGCCCGAGUCUGUACAACCAAGGCUGACCUGAAGCUGGGACAUACGGUAAACUUUAAUUUAACAGGCUCCGCACGGGGAGGGACGAGGUCAGAAGAGGUCACGUUUCACAAAUUAGUGGCGUGAAAGAAGAGGGGGGACUGCCGUGUGCUGACUCAUCGUUCCGUCUUAACUGGGAGGUGACCGGCGCAUGCACCUGGUAUGUGUUGCCACUCAGGUGGAGAUGGGUGGGGUCUCAGAGGAGAGAGAGAUAGAGAGAGAGAGAGAGAGAGAGGCAGGCAGAGAAAACAAA
Long non-coding RNA from Austrofundulus limnaeus, 337 nucleotides. RefSeq lists it as uncharacterized. The transcript has 2 exons. Lineage: Eukaryota; Metazoa; Chordata; Actinopteri; Cyprinodontiformes; Rivulidae. The record is from RefSeq and is a predicted model, not a curated record.